This 404-nucleotide ribosomal RNA is filed under the name Verrucomicrobiota bacterium. RNAcentral describes it as "Verrucomicrobia bacterium partial 16S ribosomal RNA". It matches the Rfam family "Bacterial small subunit ribosomal RNA", at positions 355 to 776 of the family's 1533-position model. The record is from RNAcentral. RNAcentral also lists the same sequence under 1 other name. Lineage: Bacteria; Pseudomonadati; Verrucomicrobiota.
UGGGGAAUAUUGCACAAUGGGCGAAAGCCUGAUGCAGCGACGCCGCGUGAGCGAAGAAGUAUUUCGGUAUGUAAAGCUCUAUCAGAAGGGAAGAAAAUGACGGUACCUUACUAAGAAGCUCCGGCUAAAUACGUGCCAGCAGCCGCGGUAAUACGUAUGGAGCAAGCGUUAUCCGGAUUUACUGGGUGUAAAGGGAGUGUAGGCGGCACUAUAAGUCUGAUGUGAAAACCUAAGGCUUAACCAUAGGAUUGCAUUGGAAACUGUAGAGCUGGAGUAUCGGAGAGGCAAGCGGAAUUCCUGGUGUAGUGGUGAAAUACGUAGAUAUCAGGAAGAACAUCGGUGGCGAAGGCGGCUUGCUGGACGAUAACUGACGCUAAGGCUCGAAAGCGUGGGAAGCGAACAGG